Long non-coding RNA from Rana temporaria (common frog), 439 nucleotides. RefSeq lists it as uncharacterized. Lineage: Eukaryota; Metazoa; Chordata; Amphibia; Anura; Ranidae. The record is from RefSeq and is a predicted model, not a curated record. The transcript is spliced from 2 exons.
CAUCCAUUCCCAGCUUGAGUUUUGUGUGUUUUUUCAGCGCUGCUGCGCUGUCUAUUCCAUUUGCCUUCCAGCUAUCUUGUACUGGAAACCUUUCCAGCCUCCAAAAUGGCGCCGAUCGUUUUUUGGACCGCCCACAGAGACCUUUUCCUUGGUCUCAUGUGUGCUGUCAUUACUUUUGGCUACAUUGGGAUCAGCUGAGCUUGUCAGCUGGGUGGAUUAUUUUCCUUCUGCUGACGCCCAGGUCAUGUGUCUGCACUGCGGCGCUUUGAUUGGUCAAUCAUCGCCGUGGUGGCAGAUUUAAAGCCCAAGCGCUGUGUUAGGCGCUCCAGCUGAGACCAGACCUAAUUAAUGCAAGGAAAGGCUGCUGUAUGCACAGCUAUCUAGGUGGCUCUGCCUUUUCAUCUUUGGACUUUGUCCUAAUCAGAGCGGAUGCCGCUUU